This is a long non-coding RNA of Lolium rigidum, 1586 nucleotides long. RefSeq lists it as uncharacterized. NCBI's taxonomy places the organism in Eukaryota, Viridiplantae, Streptophyta, Magnoliopsida, Poales, Poaceae. The record is from RefSeq and is a predicted model, not a curated record. The transcript has 4 exons.
GAAGCGGGCUGUUCUGGCCGACUCCGGCCCGGACCUCCUCGCCACCGCUGCGCCGCCUCCUAUCUCUGGACUCCUCCACCACCAUGGUCUCCUCUACAUCAUCAUCCUCGCACCAGCAUCCGCCUCUAUGGCCAGGGCACCGACGGGCGAGGCGAGGAAGUCGCACGCGUGGCCAUGGCGAGGCUGCGGGCGAGCGUCAAGACGUCAGCGAGAUUCUUGAGGCGGUUGAUUUCCCCUCUGUCCAGUAGAGGCCGCCUCUGCUCCCCCAUUCCCCGCUCUCCCUCAUCGACAUGGAGGCGCUGAAUCGAGGGUCUACAAGGAUGCCAUGACCUGAGCGCGUUGCAGCGCCGGUGAGUUCCCCAUCCCGGUAAUCUCGUAGGCCAGAUUGAAGCCCGCUGAGGUUGCCCGUCGUCGCAGCCAAUCUCGUCCACUCCAGGGAGGUCGAGCCAGCAUCACCAUGCUUGAUGAUGAUGCGUCGAGAGCUCAAAUACAGAUAGCCAGCCAACCCUGUCUCUUUCACCACAUCUCUAUGUUUCUCUUUUUUCUUUUGAUAUCCUUUCUCUCCUGAAAAAGUCACUUCUACAGAAGCAGCAAACAAUGGAGGAUUUUGGGCUACUUGGGAAUGGUGUAGCAAGCCAUGUCGAACUGACAUCAAGUUUGGGAAAGGAGUGGUCUGCAUCCAGUUGGGUGACACGCAGGUGAUAGCUUCACCAAAAUCGUAUACACAUUCUUGAUCUUGUUUUGUUGUGUUUGGGUUGGCUGAAAAAGAGAAAUGCUCGAGUGAAAAAUACAUGUAUUGUGUUGUGUAACCAUCUUUAUAUUGCGGCUGGAUGCAUGGUACUUGACUGGGCAACUUGAGUGACUAGAAAAAGAAUCUUGAGUGAGCAAGUACUUUACACUUUUCCAGAUUACAUGCCUGUUGUGGUACUGACCUCGUUACAUGGUUGAUUGUUCAUAAUUUCUUAUACAUGUUACCAUGCUUUGACAUUUUGUUUCCAUGCUCCGCUAGGUAAUACCAGUUAGGGGAAUGAACAAGCAUAUGUGUCGAGAGCUCAUGUAGUGUUGUUACAAAUUUCCUGACAUUGACUGAAUUGGCCUAGAAGAAAGGUCGCGCCAAGACUUACUACACCUAUAAUCAUUGGUUUAGAUGCUGAAGAUCUGCGGAAGCAGGUCAAUGGCUCUAAGCAGCCUCCUUCACAAUCUCCUGGGAAUAUGGACAGAGGAAGAAAGCCUACCAGAAUAGCGGUUGCGAGCAUUGUUCAUCCGCUGAUCUAACACUGCCACCUGGUGCUGGCUUUUGCAUAGAUACCCUUCGUGAGGCAAGAUAUUGGUACGCAUUUUCCAGUUGCUGAAACGAAUACAGAUAAUAUAUAUCUGCAAUGUUUACAAAUGGACUCUGACAGAGACAGACUGCUGAUAGGUGGGAUUCCAACUAAAAUGUCAAGCCAUAGGCCAUAGAUAUUCCCUACUUGCAUGUUCUAUGUAACACGCUUGCUUUUCUGUUCCUGAUCUACUGUAUGAAAAACAGGCUUGGCAAAUAACUUGUGAAAUUGUAACCCCUGGACAUCUGAAAUGGUACGAACUGC